RNAcentral lists this non-coding RNA (1401 nucleotides) under Treponema saccharophilum DSM 2985. Its description in RNAcentral is "Bacterial large subunit ribosomal RNA". It matches the Rfam family "Bacterial large subunit ribosomal RNA", at positions 1 to 1391 of the family's 2925-position model. Lineage: Bacteria; Pseudomonadati; Spirochaetota; Spirochaetia; Treponematales; Treponemataceae. The record is from Rfam by way of RNAcentral.
GGUCAAGCGAAUUAUAGGUUAAUGGUGGAUGCCUAUGGAGCUGUGAGACGAUGAAGGACGUGAUAAGCUGCGAUAAGCCACGGUUAGGAGCACAUAUCCUUUGACCCGUGGAUUUCCGAAUGGGGUAACCCGGCUGGAGUGAUCCAGUCACUGCGCACCUGAAUAAAAUAGGGUGGCAGAGCGAUACUGAGUGAAGUGAACCAUCUAAGUAACUCGGGAACAGACAUCAAUUGAGAUUCCGCAAGUAGCGGCGAGCGAACGCGGAUCAGGCCAAACCGGUUUUCCGGGGUUGUAGGGCUGCAUGGGGAUGACCCGGCAAGUCAUAAAACUAAGUGAUAGCAGAAUAGUUUGGGAAGGCUAACCAAAGUGGGUGAAAGUCCCGUAUGCGAAAUCCCUUAGUCUUGCUGAUGCAGUACCUGAGUACGGCGGGGCACGUGAAACCCUGUCGGAAUCUGGGUCGACCACGAUCCAAGCCUAAAUACUACACAGCUACCGAUAGUGAACAAGUACCGUGAGGGAAAGGUGAAAAGAACCCUUGUAAAGGGAGUGAAAUAGAACCUGAAACCAUUAACUGGCAAGAUGUCAUAGCCCGCAAGGGUGGUGGCGUGCCUUUUGUAGAAUGAGCCUGCGAGUUAUGUUAUGCAGCAAGGUUAAGGGAUUGAAGUCCCGGAGCCGAAGCGAAAGCGAGUCUGAAUAGGGCGAUUUAAGUUGCAUGCCAUAGACCCGAAGCCAAGGUGAUCUAGUCAUGGGCAGGUUGAAGCUCGGGUAAAACCGAGUGGAGGACCGAACAGUAAUCUGUUAAAAAAGGUAGUGAUGACCUGUGACUCGGAGCGAAAGACUAAACAAACCUGGAAAUAGCUGGCUCUCCCCGAAAUGCCUUUAGGGACAGCCUCAUAGAAAGAUAACGGGGGUAAAGCACUGGAUGAGUGCGGGGGAGUCAAAUCCUACCAAACUCAAUCAAACUCUGAAUACCGUUACCCAGCCUAUGGGAGUGAGACUGCGUGCGACAAGGUUCGUAGUCGAGAGGGAAACAGCCCAGACCAUCAGCUAAGGUCCCAGAAUCAUGCUAAGUGUGAAAUGAAGUGCGGAUGCACAGACAGCCAGGAGGUUGGCUCAGAAGCAGCCAUUCCUUAAAAGAGUGCGUAACAGCUCACUGGUCGAGCAUCCGUGCGCAGACAAUGAAACGGGGCUAAGCAUGAUACCGAAGCUAUGGAUUCACACCUCUGGUGUGACUGGUAGGGGAGCAUUCCAAUAACCGAUGAAGGAAGACCCGCGAGGGCUCCUGGAGGACUUGGAAGAGAGAAUGCAGGUAUAAGUAACGAAAAGACGGGUGCGAUCCCCGUCCGCCGAAAACCAAAGGUUUCCAGGGUAAAGGCAAUCUGCCCUGGGUAAGUCGGCCCC